RNAcentral lists this ribosomal RNA (119 nucleotides) under Betta splendens (Siamese fighting fish). The record is from RNAcentral. Lineage: Eukaryota; Metazoa; Chordata; Actinopteri; Anabantiformes; Osphronemidae.
GCUUACGGCCAUACCAUCCUGAGCACGCCAGAUCUCGUCUGAUCUCGGAAGCUAAGCAGAGACGGGCCCGGUUAGUACUUAGAUGGAAGACCGCCUGGGAAUCCCAAGUGCUGUAGGCC